GACGAACGCUGACGGCACGCUUAACACAUGCAAGUCGAACGAGAUCCUCGGAGCUUGCUCCGAGGGGACAGUGGCGAACGGGUGAGUAACACGUGAGGAACCUGCCCCGAAGACCGGAAUAACACCGGGAAACCGGUGCUAAUACCGGAUGCCCUCACCGGACCGCAUGAUCCGGUGAGGAUAUGGAUUCCGCUUCGGGAUGGCCUCGCGGCCUAUCAGCUUGUUGGUGGGGUAACGGCCUACCAAGGCUUCGACGGGUAGCUGGUCUGAGAGGAUGUCCAGCCACACUGGGACUGAGACACGGCCCAGACUCCUACGGGAGGCAGCAGUGGGGAAUCUUGCGCAAUGGACGAAAGUCUGACGCAGCGAUGCCGCGUGCGGGAUGAAGGCCCUCGGGUUGUAAACCGCUUUCAGCAGGGACGAAAUUGACGGUACCUGCAGAAGAAGCCCCGGCCAACUACGUGCCAGCAGCCGCCGUAA
This 480-nucleotide ribosomal RNA is filed under the name uncultured bacterium. RNAcentral describes it as "partial 16S ribosomal RNA". It matches the Rfam family "Bacterial small subunit ribosomal RNA", at positions 28 to 523 of the family's 1533-position model. The record is from RNAcentral.